RNAcentral lists this ribosomal RNA (253 nucleotides) under uncultured bacterium. RNAcentral's name for it is "partial 16S ribosomal RNA". It matches the Rfam family "Bacterial small subunit ribosomal RNA", at positions 524 to 776 of the family's 1533-position model. The record is from RNAcentral.
UACGUAGGUGGCAAGCGUUAUCCGGAUUUAUUGGGCGUAAAGGGAACGCAGGCGGUCUUUUAAGUCUGAUGUGAAAGCCUUCGGCUUAACCGGAGUAGUGCAUUGGAAACUGGGAGACUUGAGUGCAGAAGAGGAGAGUGGAACUCCAUGUGUAGCGGUGAGAUGCGUAGAUAUAUGGAAGAACACCAGUGGCGAAAGCGGCUCUCUGGUCUGUAACUGACGCUGAGGCUCGAAAGCGUGGGGAGCAAACAGG